RNAcentral lists this ribosomal RNA (504 nucleotides) under uncultured bacterium. RNAcentral's name for it is "partial 16S ribosomal RNA". It matches the Rfam family "Bacterial small subunit ribosomal RNA", at positions 30 to 523 of the family's 1533-position model. The record is from RNAcentral.
AUUGAACGCUGGCGGUAUGCUUAACACAUGCAAGUCGAACGGUAACAGGCCUAGCUUGCUAGGUGCUGACGAGUGGCGGACGGGUGAGUAACGCGUAGGAAUCUGCCUUAUUGUGGGGGAUAACCUGGGGAAACUCAGGUUAAUACCGCAUGAGCCCUUAGGGGGAAAGGAUGGGACCGAAAGGCCAUUCGCGAUAAGAUGAGCCUGCGUUGGAUUAGCUAGUUGGUGGGGUAAAAGCCUACCAAGGCGAGGAUCCAUAGCUGGUCUGAGAGGACGAUCAGCCACACUGGGACUGAGACACGGCCCAGACUCCUACGGGAGGCAGCAGUGGGGAAUAUUGGACAAUGGGGGCAACCCUGAUCCAGCAAUACCGCGUGUGUGAAGAAGGCCUGCGGGUUGUAAAGCACUUUCAGUGGGGAGGAAGAGCUCGGUGCUAAUAGUAUCGAGUUGAGACGUUACCCACAGAAGAAGCACCGGCUAACUCUGUGCCAGCCGCCGCGGUAA